Molecule: ribosomal RNA, 253 nt
Filed under: uncultured bacterium
Lineage: Bacteria
Description: partial 16S ribosomal RNA
Rfam family: Bacterial small subunit ribosomal RNA
Source: RNAcentral
UACGUAGGUGGCAAGCGUUGUCCGGAUUUACUGGGCGUAAAGGGCGUGCAGGCGGUCUGUUUAGUCUAGGGUGAAAGCUCCCGGCUCAACUGGGAGAGGUCCUUGGAUACUGGCAGACUUGAGGGAGGCAGAGGAAAGUGGAAUUCCCGGUGUAGCGGUGAAAUGCGCAGAUAUCGGGAGGAACACCAAUGGCGAAGGCAGCUCGCUGGGACGUGACUGACGCUGAGACGCGAAAGCGUGGGUAGCAAACAGG